Molecule: ribosomal RNA, 473 nt
Filed under: uncultured bacterium
Lineage: Bacteria
Description: partial 16S ribosomal RNA
Rfam family: Bacterial small subunit ribosomal RNA
Source: RNAcentral
AACGAACGCUGGCGGCAUGCCUAACACAUGCAAGUCGAACGAGACCUUCGGGUCUAGUGGCGCACGGGUGCGUAACGCGUGGGAACCUGCCCUUAGGUUCGGAAUAACUCCCCGAAAGGGGUGCUAAUACCGGAUAAUGUCUUCGGACCAAAGAUUUAUCGCCUUUGGAUGGGCCCGCGUUGGAUUAGCUAGUUGGUAGGGUAAAAGCCUACCAAGGCGACGAUCCAUAGCUGGUCUGAGAGGAUGAUCAGCCACACUGGGACUGAGACACGGCCCAGACUCAUGCGGAAGGAACGAGGGUGAAUUAGUGAACAUUGGGCGAAAGCAUGAGACGAGAAGGCCGGAUAAGUUAGGAUGUUGUGAGGGUUAAAACCUUCUUUCGUAGGGGAAGAAAACGACAGUAAGGGAAGGUCAACCUCCGGAGACCCCGGUGCCAGCAGCCGAGGUAAUGAUCGAAGAGCAAAUGUCUGCUC